UCUAGAUUGGGGCCAACAGGGAGUUUUUAGGGGGGGGGGUUGCAUCAUUUCUAUAUUUCUAUGUUCUGUCAUUCUUUUGGUCUUUAUUAUCUAUUUAGUAAGAAAUAUGCUUAUUCUUUAAAUUAUGGGUCCCUUUUGAAUUUGCUACUGCACUACACAAAUGAAACCAUGUAUCAAUUUUGAUUUAUAUUGGAUUGUACCCAAAC
RNAcentral lists this long non-coding RNA (206 nucleotides) under Mytilus galloprovincialis (Mediterranean mussel). The record is from RNAcentral. Lineage: Eukaryota; Metazoa; Mollusca; Bivalvia; Mytilida; Mytilidae.